This 24-nucleotide small nuclear RNA is filed under the name Arabidopsis thaliana (thale cress). RNAcentral describes it as "snRNA_03520". The record is from RNAcentral. Lineage: Eukaryota; Viridiplantae; Streptophyta; Magnoliopsida; Brassicales; Brassicaceae.
UACCAGCACUAAUGCACCGGAUCC